RNAcentral lists this ribosomal RNA (254 nucleotides) under uncultured bacterium. Its description in RNAcentral is "partial 16S ribosomal RNA". It matches the Rfam family "Bacterial small subunit ribosomal RNA", at positions 524 to 776 of the family's 1533-position model. The record is from RNAcentral.
UACGUAGGGUGCGAGCGUUGUCCGGAAUUAUUGGGCGUAAAGAGCCCGUAGGCGGUGUGUCGCGUCGGCCGUGAAAACCUGGGGCUCAACUCUGGGCGUGCGGUCGAUACGGGCAUCACUUGAGUUCGGCAGGGGAGACUGGAAUUCCUGGUGUAGCGGUGAAAUGCGCAGAUAUCAGGAGGAACACCGGUGGCGAAGGCGGGUCUCUGGGCCGAUACUGACGCUGAGGAGCGAAAGCAUGGGUAGCGAACAGG